This is a non-coding RNA of Phrynosoma platyrhinos (Desert horned lizard), 72 nucleotides long. Lineage: Eukaryota; Metazoa; Chordata; Lepidosauria; Squamata; Phrynosomatidae. The record is from the annotation of a GenBank genome assembly.
GCCAGUGUGGCAUAGUGGUUUGAGUAUUAGACUAUGACUCUGGAGGCCAGGGUUUGAAUCCUGGCUCAGCCA